This 680-nucleotide ribosomal RNA is filed under the name uncultured Agaricales. Its description in RNAcentral is "eukaryotic LSU rRNA". The stretch from base 276 to 429 matches the Rfam family "5.8S ribosomal RNA". Lineage: Eukaryota; Fungi; Basidiomycota; Agaricomycetes; Agaricales. The record is from RNAcentral.
GAUCAUUAAUGGAUUACUUGGCUAGGCUGCUGCUGGCUCUUUUAGGGGAGCAUGUGCACGCCUUCCAAUAGUUGUUCAUAUACCCUAUGUGCACCUUUUGUAGGCUAAGAACAUCUCUCAAGGGGGGAGACCUCUUGGACUUUUGGGAACUGCUGCGUCUAUUUUUAGAACCAGCUGUUCUUGUGUUCCUAGUCUAUGUCUAUUCUAUAACACACCCCAUAUGCAUGUAACAGAAUGUGGUUUAAUGAGCCCUUUGUGGCUUUAAAAACUAAUACAACUUUCAACAACGGAUCUCUUGGCUCUUGCAUCGAUGAAGAACGCAGCGAAAUGCGAUAAGUAAUGUGAAUUGCAGAAUUCAGUGAAUCAUCGAAUCUUUGAACGCACCUUGCGCUCCUUGGUAUUCCGAGGAGCAUGCCUGUUUGAGUGUCAUUUAUUUCUCAAAUCAUGCAAGUGUGUUGCUGGCACUAGCACAACCACUUCAUGGUUUGGAUAUGGGAUUCUGCUGGUUUCUAAACAUGUCCAGCUGUCCUGAAAUGUAUUAGCAAGGCUCUUGUUGCUAGUGCUCAUGGUGUGAUAAAUAUCUAUGCCAACGAGUGUAGCUUUUAAGGGUGUCUGGCUUAUAACAGUCUCUCUUUAUGGGACAAAAUGCAUUCUGACCACUUGACCUCAAAUCAGGUAGG